Molecule: ribosomal RNA, 1277 nt
Filed under: uncultured organism
Description: SSU rRNA
Rfam family: Bacterial small subunit ribosomal RNA
Source: RNAcentral
CCGAAAGGUUGGCUAAUACCGCAUGAGUUCUACGGAAGAAAGAGGGGGACCCGCAAGGGCCUCUCGCGAGCGGAGCGGCCGAUGACUGAUUAGCCGGUUGGUGAGGUAACGGCUCACCAAAGCAACGAUCAGUAGCUGGUCUGAGAGGACGACCAGCCACACUGGAACUGAGACACGGCCCAGACUCCUACGGGAGGCAGCAGUGGGGAAUUUUGGACAAUGGGCGCAAGCCUGAUCCAGCUAUUCCGCGUGUGGGAUGAAGGCCCUCGGGUUGUAAACCACUUUUGUAGAGAACGAAAAGACACCUUCGAAUAAAGGGUGUUGCUGACGGUACUCUAAGAAUAAGCACCGGCUAACUACGUGCCAGCAGCCGCGGUAAUACGUAGGGUGCGAGCGUUAAUCGGAAUUACUGGGCGUAAAGGGUGCGCAGGCGGUUGAGUAAGACAGAUGUGAAAUCCCCGAGCUUAACUCAGGAAUGGCAUAUGUGACUGCUCGACUAGAGUGUGUCAGAGGGAGGUGGAAUUCCACGUGUAGCAGUGAAAUGCGUAGAUAUGUGGAAGAACACCGAUGGCCAAGGCAGCCUCCCGGGACAUAACUGACGCUCAGGCACGAAAGCGUGGGGAGCAAACAGGAAUAGAUACCCCGGGAAGCCCACGCCCUAAACGAUGUUAACUAGUUGUUGGGAAGUAAAAUUGUCAGUAGCGCAGGCAGCGCGAGAAGUUAACCGCCUGGGAAGUACGGUCGCAAGACUAAAACUCAAAGGAAUUGACGGGGACCCGCACAAGCGGUGGAUGAUGUGGAUUAAUUCGAUGCAACGCGAAGAACCUUACCUACCCUUGUCAUGUCCGGAAGCUCUUGUAAUGAGAGUGUGCCCGCAAGGGAGCCUGAACACAGGUGCUGCAUGGCUGUCGUCAGCUCGUGUCGUGAGAUGUUGGGUUAAGUCCCGCAACGAGCGCAACCCUUGUCUCUAGUUGCUACGAAAGGGCACUCUAGUGAGACUGCCGGUGACAAACCGGAGGAAGGUGGGGAUGACGUCAAGUCCUCAUGGCCCUUAUGGGUAGGGCUUCACACGUCAUACAAUGGUCGGAACAGAGGGCAGCGAAAUCGUGAGACGGAGCCAAUCCCAGAAAACCGAUCGUAGUCCGGAUUGCAGUCUGCAACUCGACUGCAUGAAGUCGGAAUCGCUAGUAAUCGCGGAUCAGCAUGCCGCGGUGGAUACGUUCCCGGGUCUUGUACACACCGCCCGUCCCACAAUGGGAGCGGUGUUUCCCAGAAGU